GCGGAUGUGGCGGAAUUGGUAGACGCGCUAGAUUUAGGUUCUAGUGCCGCAAGGUGUGGGGGUUCAAGUCCCUUCAUCCGCACCA
RNAcentral lists this transfer RNA (85 nucleotides) under Rickettsiales bacterium. RNAcentral describes it as "tRNA-Leu". It matches the Rfam family "tRNA". From Rfam's summary of the family: Transfer RNA (tRNA) molecules are approximately 80 nucleotides in length. Their secondary structure includes four short double-helical elements and three loops (D, anti-codon, and T loops). Lineage: Bacteria; Pseudomonadati; Pseudomonadota; Alphaproteobacteria; Rickettsiales. The record is from RNAcentral.